RNAcentral lists this transfer RNA (73 nucleotides) under Schistocerca americana (American grasshopper). RNAcentral's name for it is "tRNA-Thr". It matches the Rfam family "tRNA". From Rfam's summary of the family: Transfer RNA (tRNA) molecules are approximately 80 nucleotides in length. Their secondary structure includes four short double-helical elements and three loops (D, anti-codon, and T loops). Lineage: Eukaryota; Metazoa; Arthropoda; Insecta; Orthoptera; Acrididae. The record is from RNAcentral.
UAUCCGGGUAGCGUAGUGGCCAGCGCACCUGCCUAGUAAGCAGGAGAACUGGGUUCGAAUCCCGGUCUGGUAG